Molecule: ribosomal RNA, 499 nt
Filed under: uncultured bacterium
Lineage: Bacteria
Description: partial 16S ribosomal RNA
Rfam family: Bacterial small subunit ribosomal RNA
Source: RNAcentral
AUUGAACGCUGGCGGCAUGCCUUACACAUGCAAGUCGAACGGCAGCACGGGAGCAAUCCUGGUGGCGAGUGGCGAACGGGUGAGUAAAGUAUCGGAACGUGCCCAGUCGUGGGGGAUAACGUAGCGAAAGUUACGCUAAUACCGCAUACGAUCUAUGGAUGAAAGCGGGGGAUCGCAAGACCUCGCGCGAUUGGAGCGGCCGAUAUCAGAUUAGGUAGUUGGUGGGGUAAAGGCUCACCAAGGCGACGAUCUGUAGCUGGUCUGAGAGGACGACCAGCCACACUGGGACUGAGACACGGCCCAGACUCCUACGGGAGGCAGCAGUGGGGAAUUUUGGACAAUGGGCGAAAGCCUGAUCCAGCAAUGCCGCGUGCAGGAAGAAGGCCUUCGGGUUGUAAACUGCUUUUGUACGGAGCGAAAAGGCUCUCUCUAAUACAGGGGGCUCAUGACGGUACCGUAAGAAUAAGCACCGGCUAACUACGUGCCAGCCGCCGCGGUA